This 71-nucleotide transfer RNA is filed under the name Lysobacterales bacterium. RNAcentral describes it as "tRNA-Arg". It matches the Rfam family "tRNA". From Rfam's summary of the family: Transfer RNA (tRNA) molecules are approximately 80 nucleotides in length. Their secondary structure includes four short double-helical elements and three loops (D, anti-codon, and T loops). The record is from RNAcentral. Lineage: Bacteria; Pseudomonadati; Pseudomonadota; Gammaproteobacteria; Lysobacterales.
CCCUGGAUCGCUCAGCGGUAGAGCAACAGACUCCUGAUCUGUCAUUUGCGGGUUCGACUCCCGCUCCAGAA